UAGGGGAAUCUUCCACAAUGGACGAAAAGUCUGAUGGAGCAACGCCGCGUGAGCGAAGAAGGGUUUCGGCUCGUAAACUCUGUUGUUAAAGAAGAACAUAUCUGAGAGUAACUGUUCAGGUAUUGACGGUACUUAACCAGAAAGCCACGGCUAACUACGUGCAAG
RNAcentral lists this ribosomal RNA (165 nucleotides) under uncultured bacterium. RNAcentral describes it as "partial 16S rRNA". It matches the Rfam family "Bacterial small subunit ribosomal RNA", at positions 354 to 511 of the family's 1533-position model. The record is from RNAcentral.